Molecule: ribosomal RNA, 423 nt
Filed under: uncultured bacterium
Lineage: Bacteria
Description: bacterial SSU rRNA
Rfam family: Bacterial small subunit ribosomal RNA
Source: RNAcentral
UGGGGGAUAUUGCACAAUGGGGGAAACCCUGAUGCAGCGACGCCGCGUGGAGGAAGAAGGUUUUCGGAUUGUAAACUCCUGUCGUUAGGGACGAUAAUGACGGUACCUAACAAGAAAGCACCGGCUAACUACGUGCCAGCAGCCGCGGUAAAACGUAGGGUGCAAGCGUUAUCCGGAAUUACUGGGUGUAAAGGGAGCGCAGGCGGGAAAUCAAGUUGGAUGUGAAAUGUCGGGGCUUAACCCCGGAACUGCAUCCAAAAACUGAUAUUCUUGAGUGAAGUAGAGGUAGGCGGAAUUCCGAGUGUAGCGGUGAAAUGCGUAGAUAUUCGGAGGAACACCAGUGGCGAAGGCGGCCUACUGGGCUUUAACUGACGCUGAGGCUCGAAAGUGUGGGGAGCAAACAGGAUUAGAUACCCUGGUAGU